UGCGAUGAUGAUGUAAUUUGCGUCUUACCCCAGUGUUCAGUGACAGUUGCCUGCUGUCAGCAUGCUGACACUGCUGGGCUGAAGACCUCUUGAAUCUGAGCA
This 102-nucleotide small nucleolar RNA is filed under the name Sphenodon punctatus (tuatara). RNAcentral describes it as "Small nucleolar RNA SNORD16 (ENSSPUG00000013562.1)". It matches the Rfam family "Small nucleolar RNA SNORD16". From Rfam's summary of the family: U16 is a member of the C/D class of snoRNA which contain the C (UGAUGA) and D (CUGA) box motifs. U81 acts as a guanine methylation guide and is found in an intron of ribosomal proteins L1 gene in animals. This snoRNA was independently named MBII-98 in mouse. The record is from Rfam by way of RNAcentral. Lineage: Eukaryota; Metazoa; Chordata; Lepidosauria; Sphenodontia; Sphenodontidae.